GCGGCGGAGGCGAGCGAGCUCAAGCUGGGCUACUACAAGAAGACCUGCCCGGGGUGGAAGAACGUGGUCAAGUACCACGUCGCCAAGGCCAUCAGGGCCAACCGCGGCAGCGGCGCCGCCCUCGUCCGCCUCAUCUUCCACGACUGCUUCGUCAGGGUACGUGCCGCGCCGCCGUCGUAACUCACCACGCACGACACAGCUCCUCUCCGCCCAUAGCUAUUAGCUCAGCUCGUUCGUCCGUGUAGCUAGCUACCUAGCUCACGCCAUUGUCGACCAGCACGUUCGCGCCUGUCAUUCCGUCAACGUCUCAAGGACAUUUCUUGGUCUCCAAAAAAAAAAAAAAGUAGUACUCGAGUAUACCAGGAGAAUUGGUUUAAUUAGUCAAAUAGUUCAUGGUUACAAAGGGCAGGAACACAGUGCACAAGCUUCUUUAAAAUGCUAGGAAUAGAGAGCAGCAGUAACCUUCCAUUCCAACCACACUUUUUACAGGUGCCAACAUAGUUUCGCUAAAAAUAGUACUCAUGCUUACGUGACCAAAGCAUGUAACAGCCGACCGAAGCAGCACCUGCAUUGUACACGGACUAAUUUUGAGCAAGUACCAAAACUGUCAACACUAACAACCGUUGUUUAACCAUCUGUCACCUUACCUACCUGGAAAGCGUUUACAUACAACCGAGAGUCCUAACGGCAUACUCCUCCAUCACUUUGGAGCUUCUUUAUAUUACCGAUCGAUAAGAAAGUUCCUUGUAGCUUAGCUCCUCUAGCAAGCUGUCCAAACAUCUUUCGUUCGCCAAUCGUCAUCAUUGCUGCUGUCGUCCACGAAUAGUCUGAUGUGGAUGAGUUUCGUGCGCCGGUUGUUCACUCCAACAUGGCGCGCAAAAGAGACUUUAUUUUUCUGCUUAGCUAGCUGGAGAAUCGGUCACGAAUGCGAUACUUUCCUUGGAGU
Molecule: long non-coding RNA, 946 nt
Filed under: Setaria viridis
Lineage: Eukaryota; Viridiplantae; Streptophyta; Magnoliopsida; Poales; Poaceae
Description: long non-coding RNA (SVIR_LNC002554)
Source: RNAcentral